UAUCCCUAAGGAGCAAAGUAGGCAGGAGGGCAGUAAUCGGCCACCCGAUCAAAGUCGAACCACUCGAGUACGGCUCGGCCGAUGCCCUCGUGGCUUCAACCAGCGACCACUGCAGCAGCGAGACGACAGUCGAACACGAGAGGAGCCCAGCAGUACUUAAACCGUCAUGGAGAACUGCACGGAGAACGAAUUCUCGGGUCCCACGGCCACACGUGGCAAUAGCACCGACGUUCAAGAAGUCAGGCCAUGUGGCG
This 254-nucleotide long non-coding RNA is filed under the name Linum usitatissimum (flax). RNAcentral's name for it is "long non-coding RNA (LUSI_LNC000666)". The record is from RNAcentral. Lineage: Eukaryota; Viridiplantae; Streptophyta; Magnoliopsida; Malpighiales; Linaceae.